RNAcentral lists this long non-coding RNA (320 nucleotides) under Elaeis guineensis (African oil palm). RNAcentral describes it as "long non-coding RNA (EGUI_LNC021597)". The record is from RNAcentral. Lineage: Eukaryota; Viridiplantae; Streptophyta; Magnoliopsida; Arecales; Arecaceae.
UCAGGCACUCAAUUUGUUCGAUCAUGUAUAAAAUACAUGAUCGGUGACCGAUGUCCUCUCUCUCAUUUUUGUAUUGAAGAUGGCAUAACUAGUCUUAUGUCUCUCAAUAUCAUCGAGAGUGUUGAAAGAUUCAUUCAAUACUUGUAACAUCUUCUUUGAUCGAGCAUCCUCAAACUUGCAGCUAAACUCAUCAUUCAUGGCUAUCUGCAUGAUGCAACGCACCAUGGUAUGGUUGUUGAGCCACUUUUCUUAAGCAUCUCAAACUACACUACAUGCGUUCGGGGCAAGCUCUUCCAAUGAUGGAUUUGUAAGCACGUAUA